GACGAACGCUGGCGGCGUGCCUAAUACAUGCAAGUGGGACGCAAGGAAACACACUGUGCUUGCACACCGUGUUUUCUUGAGUCGCGAACGGGUGAGUAACGCGUAGGUAACCUGCCUAUUAGCGGGGGAUAACUAUUGGAAACGAUAGCUAAUACCGCAUAAUAUUAAUUAUUGCAUGAUAAUUGAUUGAAAGAUGCAAGCGCAUCACUAGUAGAUGGACCUGCGUUGUAUUAGCUAGUUGGUAAGGUAAGAGCUUACCAAGGCGACGAUACAUAGCCGACCUGAGAGGGUGGUCGGCCACACUGGGAAUGGGACACGGCCCAGACUCCUACGGGAGGCAGCAGUAGGGAAUCUUCGGCAAUGGACGAAAGUCUGACCGAGCAACGCCGCGUGAGUGAAGAAGGUUUUCGGAUCGUAAAGCUCUGUUGUAAGUCAAGAACGUGUGUGAGAGUGGAAAGUUCACACAGUGACGGUAGCUUACCAGAAAGGGACGGCUAACUACGUG
Molecule: ribosomal RNA, 505 nt
Filed under: uncultured bacterium
Lineage: Bacteria
Description: partial 16S ribosomal RNA
Rfam family: Bacterial small subunit ribosomal RNA
Source: RNAcentral